AUUGAACGCUGGCGGCAGGCUUAACACAUGCAAGUCGAGCGGGGAGAUGUAGCUUGCUACAUUUCCUAGCGGCGGACGGGUGAGUAAUGCUUAGGAAUCUGCCUAUUAGUGGGGGACAACAUUCCGAAAGGAAUGCUAAUACCGCAUACGCCCUACGGGGAAAGCAGGGGAUUCUUCGGAACCUCGCGCGAUUGGAGCGGCCGAUGUCGGAUUAGCUAGUAGGUGAGGUAAAGGCUCACCUAGGCGACGAUCCGUAGCGGGUCUGAGAGGAUGAUCCGCCACACUGGGACUGAGACACGGCCCAGACUCCUACGGGAGGCAGCAGUGGGGGAAUUUUGGACAAUGGGGGCAACCCCGAUCCAGCCAUGCCGCGUGAGUGAAGAAGGCCUUCGGGUUGUUAAAA
RNAcentral lists this ribosomal RNA (403 nucleotides) under uncultured bacterium. RNAcentral describes it as "bacterial SSU rRNA". It matches the Rfam family "Bacterial small subunit ribosomal RNA", at positions 30 to 431 of the family's 1533-position model. The record is from RNAcentral.